RNAcentral lists this ribosomal RNA (445 nucleotides) under uncultured bacterium. RNAcentral describes it as "partial 16S ribosomal RNA". It matches the Rfam family "Bacterial small subunit ribosomal RNA", at positions 354 to 796 of the family's 1533-position model. The record is from RNAcentral.
GUGAGGAAUAUUGGACAAUGGGCGCAAGCCUGAUCCAGCCAUGCCGCGUGCAGGAAGACGCAUCUAUGGUGUGUAAACUGCUUUUGUACGGGAAGAAACACUCCCUCGUGAGGGAGCUUGACGGUACCGUAAGAAUAAGGAUCGGCUAACUCCGUGCCAGCAGCCGCGGUAAUACGGAGGAUCCAAGCGUUAUCCGGAAUCAUUGGGUUUAAAGGGUCCGUAGGCGGUUUAAUAAGUCAGUGGUGAAAGCCCAUCACUCAACGAUGGAACGGCCAUUGAUACUGUUAGACUUGAAUUACAAGGAAGUAACUAGAAUAUGUAGUGUAGCGGUGAAAUGCUUAGAUAUUACAUGGAAUACCAAUUGCGAAGGCAGGUUACUACUUGUGGAUUGACGCUGAUGGACGAAAGCGUGGGGAGCGAACAGGAUUAGAUACCCCGGUAGUCC